UUACUUGGGAUCUUGUUAAAAUGCAGAUUAUAGAUAGGCUGGUCAGUGGGAUUCUGCAUUUCUAACAAGCUCCUGGGUGAUGC
RNAcentral lists this microRNA precursor (83 nucleotides) under Pteropus vampyrus (large flying fox). RNAcentral's name for it is "miRNA (ENSPVAG00000030068.1)". Lineage: Eukaryota; Metazoa; Chordata; Mammalia; Chiroptera; Pteropodidae. The record is from RNAcentral.